This is a non-coding RNA of Ixodes scapularis (black-legged tick), 82 nucleotides long. NCBI's taxonomy places the organism in Eukaryota, Metazoa, Arthropoda, Arachnida, Ixodida, Ixodidae. The record is from Rfam.
GCAGUCGUGGCCGAGUGGUUAAGGCGAUGGACUAGACAUUUAUUGGGGUCUCCCCGCACAGGUUCGAAUGCUGACGAAUGCG